AUGAUGAAAUGGAGCCAGAGUAAUCCUCUCACCUUAGUUAAAACAACCCAGAAGACAUAUACCUGUAGUCACUGUGGAUGGUGGAAGGCUCCAAGAUGGGGAUCAGAAUCUCUCCUCCAUAAAGAAGUGGAAAAUUUUUAUUCUAAAGGGUUGAACAAAGAAUACUCAGUGGAAGUUUCCAAGAAUCAUAGUUUGGAUCAAUACAUAGAAUGGAGAUCCCCAAGUCUUCCUCAAAGUGAUAACUACUCCAAAUUGCAACAAAGUACUUCAAGAUGUAAUCAAUUUUCAUGUAAUUGUAUUUUUUCAAGUAGUUUU
This 315-nucleotide long non-coding RNA is filed under the name Monodelphis domestica (gray short-tailed opossum). Its description in RNAcentral is "lncRNA (ENSMODG00000050016.1)". Lineage: Eukaryota; Metazoa; Chordata; Mammalia; Didelphimorphia; Didelphidae. The record is from RNAcentral.